GCGCACCAGUCGAGAAACCUCCCCAAUGCCCGAAAGGGCGAGGGGGCCACCCCGAGUGCCACCCUCGUGGUGGCUUUUGCCGGGUCUAAAAAGCCCGGCGAAUAAGGGGGGGCAAGACGGGUGUCAGCCGCCGCGGUAAUACCCGCCCCCCGAGUGGUGGGGAUCAUUACUGGGCUUAAAGCGCCCGUAGCCGGCCGGGUGUGUCCUCCGUUAAAUCCACGGGCCUAACCCGUGGGCUGCGGAGGAUACUACUCGGCUUGGGGGUGGGAGAGGGCGGCGGUAUUCCCGGGGGUAGGGGUAAAAUCCUCUGAUCCCGGGGAGGACCACCAGUGGCGAAGGCGGCCGCCCAGAACACGCCCGACGGUGAGGGGCGAAAGCUGGGGGAGCAAACGGGAUUAGAUACCCGCGUAGU
This 412-nucleotide ribosomal RNA is filed under the name uncultured microorganism. RNAcentral's name for it is "partial 16S ribosomal RNA". It matches the Rfam family "Archaeal small subunit ribosomal RNA", at positions 330 to 745 of the family's 1478-position model. The record is from RNAcentral.